Molecule: long non-coding RNA, 4119 nt
Organism: Brassica rapa (field mustard)
Lineage: Eukaryota; Viridiplantae; Streptophyta; Magnoliopsida; Brassicales; Brassicaceae
Source: RefSeq, a predicted model, not a curated record
UAUAUUUUACUAACCAAAUACCGAAAAAAACCGAACCGAACCGAAACCAACCCGAUAUUCGGAUUGAACACCCGUAAUCCAAAUGAAGCCAAACUAUUGUUUCAUUCUCCAAAAUAUAAUAAAAAUAAUAACUUAAUCCCGCGCAAGGCGCGGAUCUUAUCCUAGUCCUAUACUAAAAGGGAGAUAUACUCAACAGAGAAGCAUGCCACCUAAGCUCUCUAUCCUAUACUAAAAGGGAGAUAUACUCAACAGAGAAGCAUGCCACCUAAGCUCAAAAAAUCAACCAAUCAAACUAUUUUAAACUUCCAUGUCAUUUUACCUUUAUACAAAAAUUAAAAUUUACGGUAUUAACCAAACUAAAUGUUUUGACUCAUCAUCUAUUUUCACGUAACUUUUUUUUAAUACUAUAUGUUCCAUAAAUUGUGAUGUCUACCUUUUGGAUUCCAGCUGUCAGUUUAAUUGUUUUCAGUUUCGGCCAUGAAAACACCAAUUCUUCAGCUGCCAUAAAUCAGAAACUGGUUAAAUUCUAGAAUGAACUUCCCCUUCCACUUCUAAAGUUAGGCUUCUAGCUCCUUCCUGCAGUGAUUUCCGUUAGAACCUUAAGCGGCAGCAAUACAUCCUCAAACGACAUUACUCUAACAAUUCAAUCCACAUCUCCGCCGGACCUCCUAAAACGUUGUCGGAAGGUUUCUAUGGUUCUAGAAAGAUCGCAAAAUCAUGGGAAUCGUACUCCUCCUGUUUGAUCUAAAGGUAGUCUAAACCUAACGUCUCUAAUCAAUGUUUUCUGUUUUUGCAGAGACGGUCUACAAUUUAAGAUCAGAGUUAUCAAAUAAGGUGAUCUAGCGAAAGAUGAUGUUAGAAGAUCUUCGUGUGCAAGCGAAAUGAGCGGCUUUACGGGAGGUGGCGAAGCUCUUGCCGUUACCGAACUUUUGCAAUAUAUUUCUUCAAUCAAGGCCGAUUGCAUGGCACGUCAACCGGUAUGCUAACAUGAUCAUUUACUCUAAAAUUCUGCCGGUAUGAUUGUGAUGUCAAUUAGUGUCGAAGCUGGUGCUCUUCGGGAGUCUUUGAGUGAUGACAAAAAAGUUGUUGAAAUACGAGGUCACAUGAAUUCUCUUCGUGUGGAUUCCAAGCAUUUUUACUGCCUCACUUUUUUGAGAAAAUAUUUCAGGUGUAAGAUAUAUAUAAUAUAACAUUCUUUGUGCUCUUUUAUAGAAGCUAACAUCAUUUGAUGGUAACGAGAGAUUUGCCUUAGCAGCUGUUUGAUAAGAGAUUAGGAGGCUAAGGUUUGUGUAUAUUCAUUCUAAUAUUUCAUUUACUUUGCUUUUUGUGCUUAUAUGAAGCGGCCAGAAAGCUUUAGUUCCAGAGUUACUCUUUGAUGCCAAAAGUAUGGUUUAUGAUAACUAAUCUCAAUAGCCUUUAGAAAGCAUGUGCUUUAGGGCUACAAAGAGAUAGUCCAAUCAGAUUACCAUUCAUGUGUUUCUUUUCCGUGAGGAGACUCAGACGAAAAGGUUGAAAAGGAUGUUUCAAACAAGAUUCAAGAUUCCAUAUCAAUUUCUCGACACUCAUCCUUUUGUAGACUCUUUAGUCCAAUCUGGUUACCAUCUUUCAUUGGAAGUAAAACAUCAAAAUUUCUUUAUCUCGAAGAUGAGAAGGCUUAUCAAAGAAACACAGUAUACACUGCUGCUCUACAUUCAAGCUUCUCAUGCGUCUGAUUGGACUGAUAACAAAGGAAAUAAAGAAGCAAAUCAGAGUGUCGAAAAUAGUCGAAGGAGAUACAUUGAUGGUGAACAUUGGUUUGAUGUUGAAGGGAGCCAGGAUUAUGGGAGUGAAUAAAGAUAUGUUGAGAAUGCAACUGAUCAGUCUAGAAUGGAUCAGUAACCGUAUUCCUUCAUUGAUUUGACGAAUCUAAGUUCUGUUUUGGUAAAAGUUUGAGACUUAUUCCUUACAUAAUAUCUGACCAUAAAAUGUUUAUAUUUGACUGGGAUGGUUAAGUUUAGAUUUGCCUGGGAUGGUUAUUUUAGUUUUUAGGGCUAACUCUUCUUACUUCUUUGGAAGAUAGACAUAUCUUAUGGUGUUUUUUUCUCUCUCUGAACUAACUUUACGCUACCUUGAAUUUUCUAUAUGUUUUACUCGCUGAGGAGACUGAGGUAAAGGAUUGUGCGGAUGAUUUUGGAAGAGAUGAAAAAUUGGAUUUAGAUGACAAAUGAAUCAGAGUAUGAUGAUGAUGAAUAUGGUGGGGGAGGAGUUUGAAGAGAGAUAAUUAAGACAAGAGGAUCAUGAGUUGGUAAAUCAGUAGGACAAAGAUCUGGAGGAGGAAACUGAGGCAGAGAAAAAUGCAGGUGAGUUUGCCGACGAGAUUGGAGAUGGUCUGAUCUUGAGAGUGAAGGUGAUGAGGUGCAUGCUUAUCAAGAAGUCAAGUUUGGAGAAGUUGUUGAUGUGUAAGAAGAGCAUCAUGAUGUUCUCCAUGAUAGACGUAAGCGUAAAGAUUUUGAAAUAUUUGUUAGAAGCUUAGACAAAGGUACUACGGAGGAGGAUUUAAAUAAAGUAUUUAGUCCCUAGGCAAGUGACUGAAUUUAAAAUUAUGAAGAAUCCACAGACAAAGAAGAGCAAGAGUUAUGCUUUCUGCUUUUUGUAUUUGUGGAUUAGGCAAAACGAGGUGUUAAAGAGCUUAGAACCCAAUGGUAAUCCUUACACUGUAGUAUUUAAUGGAGCGUUUUGUAGCUUUACACUGAACAUCACUCCUUUGGUCAUUUUGUGUUUACCUAUUAUAUAUAAAGUAUUUUUUGUUUCACUAUAUAAAUUGUUUUUAUAUUUCAAUGUAACUUUAUAUUUAUUGGAUAUUGUGUUGCCAAUUAAAUUAUGUAAACUACUGUGUAAUUGAUUAAAUUUAUAUAUUAAAUAACAAUUUUUAAAGUAAUAACUUUUGAAUAUUUGUUCAAAAAAACUUUUAAAUAUUACAGAUUUUAAUUAAAACUGGUGGAUAUAAACCUCAGAUAGAGUAUCCACGUAGGCGAAAAUAAUCGGCCAGUGAGAAACUAUAUUUUUGCCAUGUCACAUCCUCUAUUUGUUUUUACAAAAUAAUUCUUUAACUGUUUACUUAAACAAUUAUAACCGAAAAUAGUUUUUUAGUGAAAUAUAUUAUUUAUAUAAAUAUAAUUAUAUUUUUUUACAUAAUGGUUUGUAAAGAAAUAUUUAGUGUAAAUAAUAUCAUAAUUUUAUAAAAUACUAAAAUAAAUUAAGCUGGUUUUCAACUUUCACAAAUAAAAAAUAUUAUUUGUAAACUUAGAAAAGAAUAUAUCAAGAAUACUCUUUUUAGGAGAGAAAAUAUAAAAAUAUAUCGGAGACAAAUCCAUCUAUAUUAUGAAAUUCCUCUAUUUUAGAAAUAAAAUAGAGGAAUACAUUGGAGAUGGUCUAAGGCAUGGCCGACGUAAAUGAUCGACGUUGAGAUUUCAGCUUUUCUGAUUCUUACUAUUCUAAUGUUUCAAUAUAAUUUUAAUAUUCCCUUUGUUUUAUAAUAUAAUGGUUUAAAAGUAUUUUUUGUUUCACUAUAUUGUUUUUUAUAUUUCAAUGUAACGUUAUAUUUAUUGGAUAUUGUGUGGCCAAUUAAAUUAUGUAAAUUAUUGUGUAAUUGACUAACUUUAUAUAUUAAAUGACAGUUUUCUAAAGUAAUAAUUUUUAGAUAUUACAGAUUUUAAUUAAAACUGAUUACAUUUUGAAACAAAUAGAGUAAUCUAUAAACUAACUUUAUAUAGAUAUGAGGAAAAAAUUGUAAAGUGGUCUCACUUUAAAUUUUUCUCAUUCUGUACAUUCCUAAUUAGAGUGAGAUAAUCAACAUCUAAUAUUAUAUUACUCUCAGUAUAUUAGAAAUGGUCGAACAGUAAACCAAUUAAGUAAUGAUAGAAUGAAGACAUAAAGAUGUAUUUCCAGUUAUCACAAAUAUAUAAUCAAUUGACAACGACUUAAUUAUGUCCAGCGUAAGACAACCAAGAAGAGUUUCCAUACAUUCUAAUUUUAUAAUAUCUCACUAUAAUAGUGGCUAAAUCAGUUUUCUCUAGCACAAAUACUCACUUCAUUCUUGGAGUUUAAGCUUUUCUAUCUGAUGAUAUUAGUAGUUUGAUC